This 661-nucleotide ribosomal RNA is filed under the name uncultured bacterium. Its description in RNAcentral is "bacterial SSU rRNA". It matches the Rfam family "Bacterial small subunit ribosomal RNA", at positions 94 to 788 of the family's 1533-position model. The record is from RNAcentral.
AGUGGCGGACGGGUGAGUAAUGCGUGAGAAUCUGCCUUCAGGUCGGGGACAACAGAGGGAAACUUCUGCUAAUCCCGGAUGAGCCUUAGGGUAAAAAAUUUAUUGCCUGGAGAUGAGCUCGCGUCUGAUUAGCUAGUUGGUAAGGUAAAAGCUUACCAAGGCAACGAUCAGUAGCUGGUCUGAGAGGAUGAGCAGCCACACUGGGACUGAGACACGGCCCAGACUCCUACGGGAGGCAGCAGUGGGGAAUUUUCCGCAAUGGGCGAAAGCCUGACGGAGCAAGACCGCGUGGGGGAGGAAGGCUCUAGGGUUGUAAACCCCUUUUCUUUGGGAAGAACAAAAUGACGGUACCAAAGGAAUCAGCCUCGGCUAACUCCGUGCCAGCAGCCGCGGUAAUACGGAGGAGGCAAGCGUUAUCCGGAAUGAUUGGGCGUAAAGCGUCCGCAGGUGGCAAUGUAAGUCUGCUGUCAAAACCCAGGGCUCAACUCUGGUCAGGCAGUGGAAACUACAUAGCUAGAGUUCGGUAGGGGCAAAGGGAAUUCCCGGUGUAGCGGUGAAAUGCGUAGAGAUCGGGAAGAACAUCGGUGGCGAAAGCGCUUUGCUAGACCGAAACUGACACUCAGGGACGAAAGCUAGGGGAGCGAAUGGGAUUAGAUACCCC